RNAcentral lists this ribosomal RNA (253 nucleotides) under uncultured bacterium. RNAcentral's name for it is "partial 16S ribosomal RNA". It matches the Rfam family "Bacterial small subunit ribosomal RNA", at positions 524 to 776 of the family's 1533-position model. The record is from RNAcentral.
UACGUAGGGAGCAAGCGUUGUCCGGAAUCAUUGGGCGUAAAGCGCGCGUAGGUGGCUUCGUAAGUCCGUUGUGAAAGUCAAAGGCUCAACCUUUGAAUGCCGAUGGAUACUGCGGAGCUAGAGUACGGAAGAGGCGAGUGGAAUUCCUGGUGUAGCGGUGGAAUGCGCAGAUAUCAGGAGGAACACCAAUAGCGAAGGCAGCUCGCUGGGACGUUACUGACACUAAGGCGCGAAAGCGUGGGGAGCGGACAGG